RNAcentral lists this non-coding RNA (29 nucleotides) under Rattus norvegicus (Norway rat). The record is from RNAcentral. Lineage: Eukaryota; Metazoa; Chordata; Mammalia; Rodentia; Muridae.
UUCAUCACGGAACAUUUCUAUUUACUAUU